This 500-nucleotide ribosomal RNA is filed under the name uncultured bacterium. Its description in RNAcentral is "bacterial SSU rRNA". It matches the Rfam family "Bacterial small subunit ribosomal RNA", at positions 15 to 518 of the family's 1533-position model. The record is from RNAcentral.
GAUUCUGGCUUAGGAUGAACGCUGGCGGCGUGCUUAACACAUGCAAGUCGAACGGAGUUUUAACGGAAGUUUCGGAUGGAAGUUAAGAACUUAGUGGCGGACGGGUGAGUAACGCGUGGGUAACCUGCCUCAUACAGGGGGAUAACAGUUAGAAAUGACUGCUAACACCGCAUAAUAUAGUGAAACCGCAUGAUUUUGCUAUCAAAUAUUUAUAGGUAUGAGAUGGGCCCGCGUCUGAUUAGCUAGUUGGUGGGGUAAAAGCCUACCAAGGCGACGAUCAGUAGCCGGCUUGAGAGAGUGACCGGCCACAUUGGGACUGAGACACGGCCCAAACUCCUACGGGAGGCAGCAGUGGGGAAUAUUGGACAAUGGGGGAAACCCUGAUCCAGCGAACCGCCGCGUGAGUGAAGAAGUAUUUCGGUAUGUAAAGCUCUAUCAGCAGGGAAGAUAAUGACAGUACCUGACUAAGAAGCCCCGGCUAACUACGUGCCAGCCGCUGC